This 1346-nucleotide ribosomal RNA is filed under the name uncultured bacterium. RNAcentral's name for it is "partial 16S ribosomal RNA". It matches the Rfam family "Bacterial small subunit ribosomal RNA", at positions 28 to 1381 of the family's 1533-position model. The record is from RNAcentral.
GACGAACCCUUGCGGCGUGCUUAACACAUGCAAGUCGAACGGAAAGGCCCUGCUUUUGUGGGGUGCUCGAGUGGCGAACGGGUGAGUAACACGUGAGUAACCUGCCCUUGACUUUGGGAUAACUUCAGGAAACUGGGGCUAAUACCGGAUAGGAGCUCCUGCUGCAUGGUGGGGGUUGGAAAGUUUCGGCGGUUGGGGAUGGACUCGCGGCUUAUCAGCUUGCUGGUGGGGUAGUGGCUUACCAAGGCUUUGACGGGUAGCCGGCCUGAGAGGGUGACCGGCCACAUUGGGACUGAGAUACGGCCCAGACUCCUACGGGAGGCAGCAGUGGGGAAUAUUGCACAAUGGGCGGAAGCCUGAUGCAGCAACGCCGCGUGCGGGAUGACGGCCUUCGGGUUGUAAACCGCUUUCGCCUGUGACGAAGCGUGAGUGACGGUAAUGGGUAAAGAAGCACCGGCUAACUACGUGCCAGCAGCCGCGGUGAUACGUAGGGUGCGAGCGUUGUCCGGAUUUAUUGGGCGUAAAGGGCUCGUAGGUGGUUGAUCGCGUCGGAAGUGUAAUCUUGGGGCUUAACCCUGAGUGUGCUUUCGAUACGGGUUGACUUGAGGAAGGUAGGGGAGAAUGGAAUUCCUGGUGGAGCGGUGGAAUGCGCAGAUAUCAGGAGGAACACCAGUGGCGAAGGCGGUUCUCUGGGCCUUUCCUGACGCUGAGGAGCGAAAGCGUGGGGAGCGAACAGGCUUAGAUACCCUGGUAGUCCACGCCGUAAACGGUGGGUACUAGGUGUGGGGUUCAUUCCACGGGUUCCGUGCCGUAGCUAACGCUUUAAGUACCCCGCCUGGGGAGUACGGCCGCAAGGCUAAAACUCAAAGGAAUUGACGGGGCCCCGCACAAGCGGCGGAGCAUGCGGAUUAAUUCGAUGCAACGCGUAGAACCUUACCUGGGUUUGACAUGGAUCGGGAGUGCUCAGAGAUGGGUGUGCCUCUUUUGGGGUCGGUUCACAGGUGGUGCAUGGCUGUCGUCAGCCCGUGUCGUGAGAUGUUGGGUUAAGUCCCGCAACGAGCGCAACCCUUGUUCACUGUUGCCAGCACGUUAUGGUGGGGACUCAGUGGAGACCGCCGGGGUCAACUCGGAGGAAGGUGGGGAUGACGUCAAGUCAUCAUGCCCCUUAUGUCCAGGGCUUCACGCAUGCUACAAUGGCUGGUACAGAGAGUGGCGAGCCUGUGAGGGUGAGCGAAUCUCGGAAAGCCGGUCUCAGUUCGGAUUGGGGUCUGCAACUCGACCUCAUGAAGUCGGAGUCGCUAGUAAUCGCAGAUCAGCAACGCUGCGGUGAAUACGUUCCCGGGGCU